CAGUCGCCGCGGUAAUACAGAGGGUGCAAGCGUUAAUCGGAAUUACUGGGCGUAAAGCGCGCGUAGGUGGUUUGUUAAGUUGGAUGUGAAAUCCCCGGGCUCAACCUGGGAACUGCAUCCAAAACUGGCAAGCUAGAGUAUGGUAGAGGGUGGUGGAAUUUCCUGUGUAGCGGUGAAAUGCGUAGAUAUAGGAAGGAACACCAGUGGCGAAGGCGACCACCUGGACUGAUACUGACACUGAUGUGCGAAAGCGUGGGGAGCAAACAGGAUUAGAGACCCGAGUAGUCCCUGUCUCUUAUAC
This 301-nucleotide ribosomal RNA is filed under the name uncultured bacterium. RNAcentral describes it as "partial 16S ribosomal RNA". It matches the Rfam family "Bacterial small subunit ribosomal RNA", at positions 509 to 807 of the family's 1533-position model. The record is from RNAcentral.